This 468-nucleotide ribosomal RNA is filed under the name uncultured bacterium. RNAcentral describes it as "partial 16S ribosomal RNA". It matches the Rfam family "Bacterial small subunit ribosomal RNA", at positions 28 to 507 of the family's 1533-position model. The record is from RNAcentral.
GACGAACGCUGGCGGCGUGCUUAACACAUGCAAGUCGAACGGCAAGGCCCUGCUUUUGUGGGGUGCUCUAGUGGCGAACGGGCGAGUAACACGUGAGUAACCUGCCCUUUACUUUGGGAUAACUUGAGGAAAAUGGGGCUAAUACUAGCUAGGAGCUCCUGCUGCAUGGUGGGGGUUGGAUAGUUUCGGCGGUUGGGGUUGGACUUGCGGCUUAUCAGCUUGUUGGUGGUGUAGUGGCUUACCAAGGCUUUGACGGGUAGCCGUCCUGAGAGGGGGACCGGGCACAUGGGUACUGAGGGAGGGACCAGACGCGUACGGGAGACAACAGGGGAGAAUAUGACACAGUGGGCGGAAGCGUGAUGAAGCAACGUCGGGGGUGGAAAGACGGUCAUUUGGUUGGAAACCGCGUUCGCCUAAUACGAAGCGUGAGUGACGGUAAUGAGAAAAGAAGCACCGGCUAACUAUGUG